Molecule: ribosomal RNA, 254 nt
Filed under: uncultured bacterium
Lineage: Bacteria
Description: partial small subunit ribosomal RNA
Rfam family: Bacterial small subunit ribosomal RNA
Source: RNAcentral
AGGACGAACGCUGGCGGCGUGCUUAACACAUGCAAGUCGAGCGGAAAGGCCCUUCGGGGUACUCGAGCGGCGAACGGGUGAGUAACACGUGAGCAACCUGCCCUUAGCUCUGGGAUAGCUCCGGGAAACCGGAAUUAAUACCGGAUAUUACACCGGCUGGCAUCGGCUGGUGUGGAAAGAUUUAUCGGCUAAGGAUGGACUCGCGGCCUAUCAGCUUGUUGGUGGGUAGAAGCCUACCAAGGCGACGACGGGUA